RNAcentral lists this small RNA (29 nucleotides) under Bombyx mori (domestic silkworm). RNAcentral's name for it is "ovarian small RNA-27791". The record is from RNAcentral. Lineage: Eukaryota; Metazoa; Arthropoda; Insecta; Lepidoptera; Bombycidae.
UCCUCCGUUUGUGCUGGCGCAGGCCGUUG